GACGAACGCUGGCGGCGUGCUUAACACAUGCAAGUCGAGCGGUAAGGCCCUUUCGGGGGUACACGAGCGGCGAACGGGUGAGUAACACGUGGGUGACCUGCCUUUAGCUCUGGGAUAAGCCUGGGAAACUGGGUCUAAUACCGGAUAUGACCCUAUGGCGCAUGUUGUGGGGUGGAAAGCCUUGUGCGGCUAGGGAUGGGCCCGCGGCCUAUCAGCUUGUUGGUGGGGUGAUGGCCACCAAGGCGACGACGGGUAGCCGGCCUGAGAGGGCGACCGGCCACACUGGGACUGAGACACGGCCCAGACUCCUACGGGAGGCAGCAGUGGGGAAUCUUGCGCAAUGGGCGAAAGCCUGAUCCAGCAAUGCCGCGUGUGUGAAGAAGGCCUGCGGAUUGUAAAGCACUUUCAGUGGGGAAGAAAAGCUUGGUGUGAAUAGCGCCGAGUCUUGACGUUACCCAAAGAAGAAGCACCGGCUAACUCCGUGCC
RNAcentral lists this ribosomal RNA (486 nucleotides) under uncultured bacterium. RNAcentral describes it as "bacterial SSU rRNA". It matches the Rfam family "Bacterial small subunit ribosomal RNA", at positions 28 to 509 of the family's 1533-position model. The record is from RNAcentral.